This 157-nucleotide ribosomal RNA is filed under the name Ambispora leptoticha. RNAcentral's name for it is "5.8S ribosomal RNA". It matches the Rfam family "5.8S ribosomal RNA". From Rfam's summary of the family: 5.8S ribosomal RNA (5.8S rRNA) is a component of the large subunit of the eukaryotic ribosome. Lineage: Eukaryota; Fungi; Glomeromycota; Glomeromycetes; Archaeosporales; Ambisporaceae. The record is from RNAcentral.
AAACUUUCAACAAUGGAUCUCUUGGCUCUUGCAUCGAUGAAAAACGCAGUGANGUGCGAUAUGUAGUGUGAAUUGCAGAAUUCCGUGAAUCAUCGAAUCUUUGAACGCAUAUUGCACUCUCUGGUAUUCCGGAGAGUAUGCCUAUUUGAGGGUCAUU